GCCCCCUUCGUCUAGCGGCCCAGGACGCGGCCCUCUCACGGCUGAAACAGGGGUUCGAGUCCCCUAGGGGGCGCCA
Molecule: transfer RNA, 76 nt
Filed under: Rhizobiaceae bacterium
Lineage: Bacteria; Pseudomonadati; Pseudomonadota; Alphaproteobacteria; Hyphomicrobiales; Rhizobiaceae
Also listed under: 3 other names
Description: tRNA-Glu
Rfam family: tRNA
About the family: Transfer RNA (tRNA) molecules are approximately 80 nucleotides in length. Their secondary structure includes four short double-helical elements and three loops (D, anti-codon, and T loops).
Source: RNAcentral